RNAcentral lists this long non-coding RNA (1730 nucleotides) under Triticum aestivum (bread wheat). Its description in RNAcentral is "long non-coding RNA (TAES_LNC003415)". The record is from RNAcentral. Lineage: Eukaryota; Viridiplantae; Streptophyta; Magnoliopsida; Poales; Poaceae.
AGGAGUCUGAUGCGCCCGCUGGCGUGCAUUCCUUCAGUGCCUCUCCUCUGGCAUCAACCUAAAUGACCACGACAAUCGCUGAAUGUGAGGUGAUCAUUGCUUUCAAUUCAUUUUUGUGUUUAUACUGAAGUUAUUUGGUGUCUGUUUUGCAGGAUAGUUUAACUUGCGAGAAAAUACUAUUGCAUUUUCAAAAAGCGAUUAUGUUUGAUCUUAUAAGCAAUAUUGCAUUUAAAAAAGUAUUUCUCACCAAGGAAGGUAAUUAUAAUAAGCAUAAGAAUCAGCAUGUGAUUGUUUUUAGGAUAACUGACAUAUGCAAAAAUAAAUAAAAAUUGCCAAAAGAUCCUGAUCUUACUAAGCACAGAGUUCUUGGCUUAAGUACCAGGCAGUAGGUGACUGGUUUUCAUGGCGUUACAGCCAAAUCUUGCUUUAUGUAAUGUAAGAAGAGGCUGAAAGUUUGUUCUAUUAAACAGCAAUCUAAUGAUAUAUUAUAUACAGCAAAGGUUGCAUUGCCUUCUGUACGUUGAGCAUUUGUUUGUAUAUCUAAGCUCACUAAAUUGCAUUUCACAAUGAAAAUUCAGAUAUGUUGUUAGUCGUUCAGCUUAGCAAUUCCAGAAGUCGUAGUUCCAGCCAAACAUCUAAAUACUGAGCUCAAAUUGCAGAAAAUAUUGGGUGUUCAGUACUCGAUUUUGGACUAUAUGUUCACCUAUCUCUAGGGUGCCAUGAUCUCAUCUAAAGGAUCUUUUUUGCUAACACAUACCUUGAUGUUGACAUCGACAGCAGCAGAGAUAAUAUACGCCAUAUAAUCUUGUAAACAUAUGUGUAGAUCAGUACAAGUACUUUCAGUCUUCCUCCUUGUGAAUUAGUCUUUCAAGCUGUGGAUGGUCAGGAGUCGCUUGAGCCCUGCAAAGAUAAUGUUCAAGCUACAGCUUGAGUCAGAAUUUGUACGGAUACAUGAAAAUGUGAUGUAUGCCGAGAAAAGGUUUGUUUGCUAUGCAAUUCAAAUUUUAGCUUGCAAUUGCAGUUAGAAGUUCAAACCGCAACUCAAGUAUGUUGUUAAUUUACAGUGAGCAUCCACUUGCAGAAGACUUGUGCCUGGAUGUGCUAAUUGACAGUGAAAUGUAGAAAUAAGUUGCAACUUUGUAAUAUCCAUCUGAUAUGUGAAACAAGAAUUGUUACUAAUUCACAACAUGUAUCUACGAUUGUGAGAUGGGACACCAUGUGCACAGCGGAGGCAACACAAGGUCGAGAGAAAAGCCCGUGCGGAAAGAGAUGCAACAUACGGCCAUCAUUACAACUGUUAUAUUUUUGUAUAUGUUGUAAUUAUUCAUGCAAAGGUUACAGGCUUGAUGCACAAUUAUAAGUAUCUGGAGGAGUUGACGAAGCGUGGAGUUUUUUCUUGACAAUACAAAGAGUAUGAGUUAGGAGACGUUGAAGUGCAACUACAGAGCAAGCAUGACAAGGUGAAGCUUUUACUGGAGAAAGUUGCGUAAAGUCUUUUUUAAGGAAAAGUUGUGUUUUCUUACAGCCGUGGAGUAGGAUCCAGAUAGGGAAGGGAAGGGGCUAGAGCAACAAUAGUGUCCUUACCCAUUAGACUUUAAUCUAUGUACCUCCUAAUCAUUUACCUGAUUACUCGGAAAUAGAAGAUGAAAUAGAAGAUGAAAGAUGAGAUAUGAACUUGGCUCCUGAGCUCAAAUAAUUGCAAUAAAAUUCAAUGAAGUCUUAAUGUUUCG